This 72-nucleotide transfer RNA is filed under the name Marmota monax (woodchuck). RNAcentral's name for it is "tRNA.Thr". It matches the Rfam family "tRNA". Rfam says of the family: Transfer RNA (tRNA) molecules are approximately 80 nucleotides in length. Their secondary structure includes four short double-helical elements and three loops (D, anti-codon, and T loops). Further hydrogen bonds mediate the characteristic L-shaped molecular structure. tRNAs have two regions of fundamental functional importance: the anti-codon, which is responsible for specific mRNA codon recognition, and the 3' end, to which the tRNAs corresponding amino acid is attached (by aminoacyl-tRNA synthetases). tRNAs cope with the degeneracy of the genetic code in two manners: having more than one tRNA (with a specific anti-codon) for a particular amino acid; and 'wobble' base-pairing, i.e. permitting non-standard base-pairing at the 3rd anti-codon position. The record is from RNAcentral. Lineage: Eukaryota; Metazoa; Chordata; Mammalia; Rodentia; Sciuridae.
GGGGUUGUGGCUCAGUGGUGGAGCACAUGCCUUGUCUGCGUGGAGCACUGAGUUCGAUCCUCAGCACCGAUA